GGCUGAUCCAAGUGCAAUGGUAUUUACAACUAAUUGAUCACAACCAGUUUCUAGAUUUCUUUGUUCCUUCUCCAUUCCCACUGCUUCACUUGACUAGUCUUGA
Macaca fascicularis (crab-eating macaque) is the source of this 103-nucleotide Y RNA. It matches the Rfam family "Y RNA". From Rfam's summary of the family: Y RNAs are components of the Ro ribonucleoprotein particle (Ro RNP), in association with Ro60 and La proteins. The Y RNAs and Ro60 and La proteins are well conserved, but the function of the Ro RNP is not known. In humans the RNA component can be one of four small RNAs -- hY1, hY3, hY4 and hY5. NCBI's taxonomy places the organism in Eukaryota, Metazoa, Chordata, Mammalia, Primates, Cercopithecidae. The record is from Ensembl.